Molecule: ribosomal RNA, 470 nt
Filed under: uncultured bacterium
Lineage: Bacteria
Description: bacterial SSU rRNA
Rfam family: Bacterial small subunit ribosomal RNA
Source: RNAcentral
GACGAACGCUGGCGGCGUGCUUAAUACAUGCAAGUCAACUGAACUCAAGGUAGUAAUACUUUGAGGGAGGUGGCGCACGGGUGAGUAACACGUAGGUAAUCUGCCUUUAGGUCUGACAUAACCACGAGAAAUCGUGGCUAACUUCAGAUGAUGCAGCGGCUCGACAUCGAGACAGUUGUUAAAUCUUCGGAGCCUAAAGAUGAGCCUGCGUCUGAUUAGGUAGUUGGCGGAGUAAAAGCCCACCAAGCCUGCGAUCAGUAGCUGGUCUGAGAGGAUGAUCAGCCACACUGGAACUGAGACACGGGUACCNGACUCCUACGGGAGCAGCAGUAAGGAAUAUUGCUCAAUGGCCGAAAGGCUGAAGCAGCAACGCCGCGUGGAGGAUGAAAUACUUUUGUAUGUAAACUCCUGUAAGAGGGGAAAAAUAUGCAGUUAUUCUGCGUUGAUUGUACCCUCAGAGUAAGCCCCGG